UGAAUGAGAGAGGGUGGUUCACCAAAGUGGGAUCAAGACCACAUGGGAAAAGCUUGUGGAAAAAGACCAGUUUAGGCCAUGACAAUUUUUAGGCGAAUAUCAAGUGAAAUGUUGGUAAGGGUGACAGAAUCAGAUUAUGGGGGAACCAAUGAAGAGAGGGCGGUACACUCAAAGAGCAGUAUCAUCAUAUUUAUGCUUUGCCUACCAGAAAAAGAUCAAAAUUUAUUACUCUUUUCUGGAAACUAGUGAAGGGAAAAAAAGAAUGACAACUUUUUGUGUUGAGAAAUCUGAAUGACUGGGAGAUCGGAAACAUGAAAAUUUGUUAAUACUCUCUCCCUUGUGACUCUAGACAGAAGCAAAAACAAUCCCCAAUGGUUUCUUACAAGAAAUGAGUCAUCCACAGUCAAGU
RNAcentral lists this long non-coding RNA (409 nucleotides) under Carica papaya (papaya). RNAcentral describes it as "long non-coding RNA (CPAP_LNC002082)". Lineage: Eukaryota; Viridiplantae; Streptophyta; Magnoliopsida; Brassicales; Caricaceae. The record is from RNAcentral.